Molecule: ribosomal RNA, 186 nt
Filed under: Plutella sp. 58H2016
Lineage: Eukaryota; Metazoa; Arthropoda; Insecta; Lepidoptera; Plutellidae
Description: partial large subunit ribosomal RNA
Source: RNAcentral
UUUUAUAAAUAAAUUUAUUAAAAUUAUUAAAAUAAAAAAAAAAUAUGAAAUAGAUUUAUUUAUUUGAUUGGGGAGAUAGAAAAAUAAAUUUAACUUUUUUUUUAUAAAAACCCAUUGAUAAAUGAAUAUAUGAUCCAAAAAUAAUGAUUAAAAGAAAAAAUUACCUUAGGGAUAACAGCGUAAAUC